GACAGAGGGUGCAAGCGUUGUUCGGAAUUAUUGGGCGUAAAGGGCGCGUAGGCGGCGCUGUAAGUCAGAUGUGAAAGCCCAGAGCUUAACUCUGGAAGUGCGUCUGAUACUGCAGUGCUGGAGUCCCGGAGAGGGUGGUGGAAUUCCCAGUGUAGAGGUGAAAUGCGUAGAUAUUGGGAGGAAUACCGGUGGCGAAGGCGACCACCUGGACGGUGACUGACGAUGAGGCGCGAAAGCGUGGGGAGCAAACAGG
RNAcentral lists this ribosomal RNA (253 nucleotides) under uncultured bacterium. RNAcentral's name for it is "partial 16S ribosomal RNA". It matches the Rfam family "Bacterial small subunit ribosomal RNA", at positions 524 to 776 of the family's 1533-position model. The record is from RNAcentral.